This 467-nucleotide long non-coding RNA is filed under the name Cricetulus griseus (Chinese hamster). RNAcentral describes it as "lncRNA (ENSCGRG00015038144.1)". The record is from RNAcentral. Lineage: Eukaryota; Metazoa; Chordata; Mammalia; Rodentia; Cricetidae.
AUUUCCCUCAGUACAUUGACCUUGGCACCUCUCUUCUCCGGAGGCUCUUAUCCUGACAGGUCUGCCCAGGGUGUUUCCCAAAUUCUGGAAUUACAGACAUUCAACACCAUGCCUGACAUUGUCAGCCUCAGGUCAACCAGUUUCUGCCACCAGAACGGAGAAAAGAUGGAGGAGGGGCAGUAGAGACUGGACUGCUAUUGGAAAUGAUGAAGCCUCGCUGCAAAUGUGUCAGCCAUGCUAGCCUUCUACCCUCACCCACCAAGUGUCUUUUCUCCACCCCCAUCCCGGGGCAAGGGGCACGGAGGCGGCAGAGGAGGCCCAGUAUGACUGGGACUUUCAGCACCAGUCAGUGGUUGUAUGAGGACAAAUCCCACCUCAUGGCUUUUUCUUAAAAAUCUAUGAUUUGUUUUGCUUCCUAUAAACUUAUUAUUAUUUCAAAAUAAAAAGCUUUUUUUUUCACUACUAAA